GAAUAUUGGACAAUGGGCGCAAGCCUGAUCCAGCCAUGCCGCGUGUGUGAAGAAGGCCUUCGGGUUGUAAAGCACUUUUGUACGGGAAGAAAAGCUUUCGGUUAAUACCCGGAAGUCAUGACGGUACCGUAAGAAUAAGCACCGGCUAACUUCGUGCCAGCAGCCGCGGUAAUACGAAGGGUGCAAGCGUUACUCGGAAUUACUGGGCGUAAAGCGUGCGUAGGUGGUUUGUUAAGUCUGAUGUGAAAGCCCUGGGCUCAACCUGGGAAUGGCAUUGGAUACUGGCAGUCUAGAGUGCGGUAGAGGGUAGCGGAAUUCCCGGUGUAGCAGUGAAAUGCGUAGAUAUCGGGAGGAACAUCCGUGGCGAAGGCGGCUACCUGGACCAGCACUGACACUGAGGCACGAAAGCGUGGGGAGCAAACAG
Molecule: ribosomal RNA, 424 nt
Filed under: uncultured bacterium
Lineage: Bacteria
Description: bacterial SSU rRNA
Rfam family: Bacterial small subunit ribosomal RNA
Source: RNAcentral